AACGAGCAGAACCGGUGUCAAACAUGGAACUUUAAGAAUCACUAAACACCCCAUACUUGGCCAUUUUGUAUUGGCCAUUCAAAAGGGGAAAAAAAAUUCUCAUCUCUCUCUCUCUCUUCGGUUCUUCUUUCUCUCUUCUUCUUUCUCUUUUGGCCAAGAACACGUAAAAGAGUUGAAGCUGUUCGUCGUGCUACUGAUGGAAGCGCUUUUGAGAAAUGUGAAGAAAGUGGAGUUAUGAUCCGAAGGGAAGUGAAGAGAUUCAAGUGUGUUUCGAGUGGAAAAUAUCGAUGAUGAUAUAUCGAAACCAAGCUUUGAAGAUGAACCUAGAUCACCUUUUGUCUUCUUCUAGUACGGUACCCAAAACCUUCCUGUGUUACUUCUCUGAGUAGUAUCUUCCUUUAUUUAGAGAGGAUUUUGAAAAGCUACGAUGGGAACAUGGUUGAUGCUAGCAGAAUAUGUUUCAUUGUGUGGAAGAACAUGUCAGAAGAGGUGUGUCUCUUCCAGCGCUCAAGAGUCUCUUCAUCAACACCAUCUUUUUCACUUAUGGAGAUCUGUGUAAUGUGCUUCUUCCUGGUUGCCCAGUACUCGAGGAGCUGUCUGUACGUCACGUGAAUUGUGAAAGAAUCCCAUUCUGCAUAUCCAAUAGGAGCAUCAAGAAACUACCAGUUUACUACAACUUUGAGACUGUGAUUACAGAUAUGCCCGGCAUGUCAUCUGAUUCUUACUCCUGCUUCUGCUGAUGUGAUUUCUCGAUUUGUUAAACGUGGACUAUCUCUACCGGUGUUCAAGAAUCUGGUUGCCUUACCUUAUUUUCCUUCCUUCAUGUUUCAGGCCCUAUUGAAGAAGACGCUGGCUUGAGAGAUUUAAUCAGCUGGCUUCCUGAAGAGGUUCUAGGCAGCAUCUUGUCCUUACUUCCGACGAAACAAGCCGCAUCAACAUCUGUACUUGCUAAAAAGUGGAGGCAUGUGUGAUGAUGGUAAUAUAUUGCAAACUCAUGGCGCUCGUUGGAGCUGCAGCAUCCAAGUGCUAGACUGAUUUCGUUUCUUACUUCUAGCUAGACUUUCAUCAUAAACUUUUGUUUUUGUUAAACGUAUCUAAUUCAUAGGCAAGAUCAUGAUGUGAAUCACUCAGUGUGCUAGUUUGCACCACUUACAAAUCAUGGCAAAACUACUUUACUACAGUUAAUUAUGUUCAAAUACAUUAUCUAGUUGAAAACCAUUUCUCUUUAUGCAAUAUUGGUUAUCAAGAGAGUCGGAUCUAUUGGUUAUCACGGUUGAAAACCAUUUCUCUUUAUAAGCUUUGCAAUAUGAGUUGAUGCUAUGAAAACCAUUUCUCUUUCGAGUGAAGCAUUUUUUUUUCUUUACAUGCUUUAUAAGAUUAUUUUGUUAACCAUUUCUCUUACCAUUUCACAAGUGAUGAGUUACCAUUUCUCUUACCAUUUCGAGUGAAGCACAAGUGAUAGUUACCAUUUCACCUAAAAUAUUUUGUUUCAAAUCAAGAUUUCAACUAAUUUGUUUUUUCUUUGUAUUUUUACUUUUAUGUCAUUUUUAUUUAAAUUUUUAUGUAUGUUUUUCUUUCAUGUUAUAAAAUCCAAUCAUUCAACUUCUAAAAAAAAUUAAAAAUUUUAAGAACCUCGAAGAGGUUCUCCCAUUGGACCAUGAAAAUUUUAAUUAUAUUAACAAGGGUUCUAAACUUUUCAAAUCACAAAAUUAAUUACUAAACUAUUCAUUAGAACCCUUAAUGGACUCUUACCAAUGGAAUUGCUCUAUACAUUGCAAUAGUUUCUAAGAAAGACGUUGCACCUUUGCAGAGUGUCCAAACUCUGAAUUUGCUACUAUCAAAGUUGAUGCUGUCCAGUUUCAAAAAAAUAAAAGUUGAUGCUGUCGUUUGUUUUUUUUUUUACACAUAUUUAAGUUCUGUAUCUCUUUUCUUUACUCUGUUCUAUGUUGUAUAAACUACCCAGUUGAAAAGAAAAUUUUGUAACGUGCACACGUCAUGGUAAGGGUAAUGCUCUCGGACAAAUUAUGCAUGGAAGCCGCAUGCAAGAAUCGCGCUAAUUAUAAUUAUAAUAACAACAAUAUAUCUCUACAAAUAAAAAUGAUUUUUAAUAGAAAAUUACUAUUGAUUUUCUCGGGAAAAAAAAUUAAAAGAAAACCAAACAGAAGACAUGAUCUGUUGAAGAUUUUUAUAAGAAAUGAAUGGUGAACUUUAGCAUACAAUACAAAAAAACAUUACUCACAAAUGAAACUCUACUUCCAUAUAUACAAUUAAAUUAGAAACAAAAGGUAGUUAUGUCUAUUAUACUAUGUAUAUUUCCUAGAAAUUGUGUACAUAAGAAUAUUUGCAAAUUCUUAGCAAAAAAAGAAGCAUAUUUGCAAAUUGUUCAUAUCAUCACAAUAUUCAGUAAAAAUAAAAGGUAUAUAUUCAUAUACCAAAAACGAACAUUUUGUGACAAAGACCUUUAGAGCAGCGUUAUCGGGGGUUCUUAACAGGGUUUUUCGUUUAAUUAAAAAAAAAAAAAAAAAAAAUAGCAAAUAACACAAGCGACGUCACUUAAUUAGGCAACAGAAGAGACGGUUCUUCAGCCACGCGUCACGGUGAAAUCGUUUUGGGAGGAGACUUCGAUGGGAGAAAAAAUCAGUCCCGAAUCAUCUUCUACUACGUUUGUCUGAGCCUUUCGGUGUCAUGGUGAAAUCGUCGCCGUUUGUCUGAGCCUUUCACGUUCGUCAAAACUCCAAACCUAGAAGGAGAGCCGCUCUCUCGCUCUCGCCGUUAAAAUCGGGAGAGAUGGGAAGAAGCAUGAGUGAAAAGGAAGGUGCAGCUUUGCUUGUGCCCAUAAGAAAUCGCGGAGCAUGAGUGAACUGAAGACUUUAUGCAUGAUCUGUUUUUUUACAGGGUUUAAUAUGGAAACAGUUGAAUACAAGCAGGCUUGUAUAUCUGCAGGAUGAGCUUCGUGAUGCGGUACUUCUUGUUUUUGCUAACAAGCAGGAUCUUCCAAAUGCAAUGAAUGCUGCUGAGAUAACCAAUAAGCUUGGACUCCACUCUCUCCGGCAGCGUCAUUGGUACAUCCAGAGCACGUGUGCCACCACCGGUGAGGGACUGUUCUUCAGGAGUCUCGGCGCACGCUUAGAUAGAAAGAAAGAAAGAAGUGCCGUGAGCUUGAUGAAAACGUUUCAGACCAAGAGCUACUGAAAAUUUGUAAGACGUGAAGAGGUGAUAGUAUGCUCUUGGACAAAUUCUGCAUGGAAACGGCAUGAUCGCGCUUUCUUCCUCAGUCAUCAUGUCAACGUCUAAAAAAUGGAACGAUGCCAUGAUCGGUCGUUACUACUCUGUCUUAGGAAGGGUUCCAGACAAGGAUAACAUCAAAGAGAUAGCCAAGUGUCUGAAGGCGCGAUCUGAAAUCCUCAACAAUAUCGGCAAGAAGAAGAAGAAGAAAGUGAGUAAAUGAUUUGCUUCUAUCUGAAUAUCUGUUGGUUUGUAAAUAGGCGUGAUGAUUUGCUUCUAUCUGAUACUUUUGUAAAUAGGUGUGAUGAUCUGCUUCUAUCUGAUGCUUUUGUAAAUAGGUGUGAUGAUUUGCUUCUAUCUGAUCUGAUGGUUUGUAAAUAGGCUUGAUGAUUUCUGAUGCUUUUGUAAAUAGGCGUGAUGAUUUGCUUCUAUCUGAUCUGAUGGUUUGUAAAUAGGCGUGAUGAUUUGCUUCUAUUUGAUGGUUUGUAAAUA
RNA transcript from Brassica napus (rape), 3717 nucleotides. It is a transcript of the gene named ADP-ribosylation factor-like, with no coding region annotated. The transcript has 9 exons. The record is from RefSeq and is a predicted model, not a curated record. NCBI's taxonomy places the organism in Eukaryota, Viridiplantae, Streptophyta, Magnoliopsida, Brassicales, Brassicaceae.